UAAGAACGCUACUCUCUAUGAUGAAGCUUUGUUUCGAAGUGAUUUUAUAUACUUUUUGAAAAUGAAUGUGGGACUCGGUCCACUGGAGGACCAGUGUGUCGCCGGUUCACCCGUUCUCUCCUCUGGAUUCCCAUUUCUGCUAUUGAGUUAGUGGGAAUGUCACAGGAGAUUGUAAUCACAUUUCAUUUCGGUGAAAUAUGGUUAUGAUUUCUGGGGCCCAGAUCGUUUACCGUGAAAAAAUUAGAGUGUUCAAAGCAGGCAGAUUUAACCAUUCUGCCACCGAAUACAUUAGCAUGGGAUAAUGGAAUAGGACCCUGUCCUCCUAUUUAUCGUGUUGGUUUUUGAGGACCAGGGUAAUGAUUAAUAGGGAUAGUUGGGGGCAUUAAUAUUUAAUUGUCAGAGGUGAAAUUCUGGAUUUAUGAAAGAUUAACUUCUGCGAAAGCAUCUGCCAAGGAUGUUUUCAUUAAUCAAGAACGAAAGUUAGGGGAUCGAAGACGAUCAGAUACCGUCGUAGUGUUAACCAUAAACGAUGCCGACCAGCGAUUAGGAGACGUUGAAUACAAAACACCACCUUAACACGAUCGUUUUUUGGCAAAUUGCGCCUCGUCACGCAUGUGCGCGUUUGUUUUUGGAGGGAACGCUAUUUUUGUUGAUCGGACAAAUG
This 664-nucleotide ribosomal RNA is filed under the name Acanthamoeba cf. healyi. RNAcentral's name for it is "bacterial SSU rRNA". The stretch from base 107 to 594 matches the Rfam family "Eukaryotic small subunit ribosomal RNA", at positions 624 to 1113 of the family's 1831-position model. Lineage: Eukaryota; Discosea; Longamoebia; Acanthamoebidae. The record is from RNAcentral.